RNAcentral lists this ribosomal RNA (1502 nucleotides) under uncultured bacterium. RNAcentral describes it as "bacterial SSU rRNA". It matches the Rfam family "Bacterial small subunit ribosomal RNA". The record is from RNAcentral.
GAGUUUGAUCAUGGCUCAGAAUAAACGCUGGCGGCGUGCCUAACACAUGCAAGUCGAGCGGGAAAACCCUUCGGGGUUAGUACAGCGGCGGACGGGUGAGCAACGCGUGAGAAUCUGCCCUUUAGUGAAGAAUACUCUCGAGAAAUCGGGAAUAAUACUGCAUGAGUCCCUACGGGGAGAAAGAUGGCUUUAUGCUGUCGCUAGAGGAUGAGCUUGCGUACUAUUAGCUAGUUGGUAGGGUAAAGGCUUACCAAGGCGAUGAUGGUUAACCGGCCUGAGAGGGUGUUCGGUCACACUGGAACUGAGACACGGUCCAGACUCCUACGGGAGGCAGCAGUGAGGAAUAUUGCGCAAUGGGCGAAAGCCUGACGCAGCGACGCCGCGUGGAGGAUGAAGGUCUUAGGAUUGUAAACUUCUGUUAAGUGGGAAGAAAAAGUUACUUCUAAUACAAGUGAAAAAUGACGGUACCACUAAAGAAAGCACCGGCUAACUUCGUGCCAGCAGCCGCGGUAAUACGAAGGGUGCAAGCGUUAUUCGGAUUUAUUGGGUGUAAAGGGUGCGUACACAGUAUGUUAAGUCCGCUGAUAAAUUUCCCAGCCUUAACUGGGAGUCAGCGGUGGAUAAUGGUGUACUAAAGGAUGGAAGAGAGAAGUGGGAAUUCCCGGAGUAGCGGUAAAAUGCGUAGAUCUCGGGAGGAACACCAAUGGCGAAAGCAGCUUCUUGGUCCAUUUUUGACGUUGAGGCACGAAAGCGUGGGGAGCAAACAGGAUUAGAUACCCUGGUAGUCCACGCUGUAAACGAUAAUCACUAGAUGUUGGUUUGACUUAGUCGGAUCAGUAUCGUAGCUAACGCGUUAAGUGAUUCACCUGGGGAUUACGGUCGCAAGACUAAAACUCAAAGGAAUUGACGGGGGUCCGCACAAGCGGUGGAACAUGUGGUUUAAUUCGACACUACGCGAGAAACCUUACCUGGGCUUGACAUAUUUCUGACCGUCGUAGAAAUACGAUUUUCUAAGUUUACUUAGACAGUUAUACAGGUGCUGCAUGGCUGUCGUCAGCUCGUGUCGUGAGAUGUUCGGUUAAGUCCUCUAACGAGCGCAACCCUUGCCGUCAGUUGCUACGUGCUUUGCACGGCACUCUGGCGGGACUGCCUGGGAAACCAGGAGGAAGGUGGGGACGAUGUCAAGUCAUCAUGGUCCUUAUGCCCAGGGCUACACACGUGUUACAAUGGCCAAUACAAAGGGCAGCAAGCUCGCAAGGGUAAGCAAAUCCCAGAAAGUUGGUCUAAGUUCGGAUUGGGGUCUGCAACUCGACCCCAUGAAGUUGAAAUCGCUAGUAAUCGUAUAUCAGCAACGGUACGGUGAAUACGUUCUCGGGCCUUGUACACACCGCCCGUCACACCACGAGAGUUGUUUGUACCCAAAGUCGCUUUAGCUAACCCGUAAGGGAGGCGGGCGCCUAAGGUAUGGGGAAUGAUUGGGGUGAAGUCGUAACAAGGUAACC